GACCGAUAGUGAACCAGUACCGUGAGGGAAAGGUGAAAAGCACCCCGGAAGGGGAGUGAAACAGUUCCUGAAACCGUGUGCCUACAAGUAGUUAGAGCCCGUUAAUGGGUGAUAGCGUGCCUUUUGUAGAAUGAACCGGCGAGUUACGAUUUGUUGCAAGGUUAAGCGGAAAAAGCGGAGCCGUAGCGAAAGCGAGUCUGAAUAGGGCGCAUAAGUAACAGGUCGUAGACCCGAAACCAGGUGAUCUACCCAUGUCCAGGAUGAAGGUAAGGUAAUACUUACUGGAGGUCCGAACCCACGCACGUUGAAAAGUGCGGGGAUGAGGUGUGGGUAGCGGAGAAAUUCCAAUCGAACUUGGAGAUAGCUGGUUCUCUCCGAAAUAGCUUUAGGGCUAGCCUCGAGGUAAAGAGUCAUGGAGGUAGAGCACUGUUUGGACUAGGGGCCCUUCUCGGGUUACCGAAUUCAGAUAAACUCCGAAUGCCAUGUACUUAUACUCGGGAGUCAGACUGCGAGUGAUAAGAUCCGUAGUCGAAAGGGAAACAGCCCAGACCACCAGUUAAGGUCCCCAAAUAUAUGUUAAGUGGAAAAGGAUGUGGGGUUGCUUAGACAACCAGGAUGUUGGCUUAGAAGCAGCCACCAUUGAAAGAGUGCGUAAUAGCUCACUGGUCGAGUGACCCCGCGCCGAAAAUGUACCGGGGCUAAACAUAUUACCGAAACUGUGGAUGAACCUCUUUAGAGGUUCGUGGUAGGAGAGCGUUCUAAGGGCGGUGAAGUCAGACCGGAAGGACUGGUGGAGCGCUUAGAAGUGAGAAUGCCGGUAUGAGUAGCGAAAGAAGGGUGAGAAUCCCUUCCACCGAAUAUCUAAGGUUUCCUGAGGAAGGCUCGUCCGCUCAGGGUUAGUCGGGACCUAAGCCGAGGCCGAUAGGCGUAGGCGAUGGACAACAGGUAGAGAUUCCUGUACCAGUGCUAAUUGUUUAACCGAUGGGGUGACACAGAAGGAUAGGGAAUCGCACGAAUGGAAAUGUGCGUCCAAGCAGUGAGUGUGAGAAGUAGGCAAAUCCGCUUCUCGCGAAGCAUGAGCUGUGAUGGGGAAGGAAAUUAAGUACGGAAGUUCCUGAUUUCACGCUGUCAAGAAAAGCCUCUAGGAAGAGUAGUACUGCCCGUACCGCAAACCGACACAGGUAGAUGAGGAGAGAAUCCUAAGGUGAGCGAGAGAACUCUCGUUAAGGAACUCGGCAAAAUGACCCCGUAACUUCGGGAGAAGGGGUGCUCUAUUAGGGUGCAAGCCCGAGAGAGCCGCAGUGAAUAGGCCCAGGCGACUGUUUAGCAAAAACACAGGUCUCUGCAAAACCGUAAGGUGACGUAUAGGGGCUGACGCCUGCCCGGUGCUGGAAGGUUAAGAGGAGUGCUUAGCUUCGGCGAAGGUACGAAUUGAAGCCCCAGUAAACGGCGGCCGUAACUAUAACGGUCCUAAGGUAGCGAAAUUCCUUGUCGGGUAAGUUCCGACCCGCACGAAAGGCGCAACGAUCUGGGCACUGUCUCAACGAGAGACUCGGUGAAAUUAUAGUACCUGUGAAGAUGCAGGUUACCCGCGACAGGACGGAAAGACCCCGUGGAGCUUUACUGCAACCUGAUAUGGAAUGUUUGUACCGCUUGUACAGGAUAGGUAGGAGCCGAAGAGACGUGUGCGCUAGCAUACGAGGAGGCAAUGGUGGGAUACUACCCUGGCUGUAUGACCAUUCUAACCCGCCACGCUUAGCGCGUGGGGAGACAGUGUCAGGUGGGCAGUUUGACUGGGGCGGUCGCCUCCUAAAGAGUAACGGAGGCGCCCAAAGGUUCCCUCAGAAUGGAUGGAAAUCAUUCGCAGAGUGUAAAGGCACAAGGGAGCUUGACUGCGAGACUGACAAGUCGAGCAGGGACGAAAGUCGGGCUUAGUGAUCCGGUGGUUCCGCAUGGAAGGGCCAUCGCUCAACGGAUAAAAGCUACCCCGGGGAUAACAGGCUUAUCUCCCCCAAGAGUCCACAUCGACGGGGAGGUUUGGCACCUCGAUGUCGGCUCGUCGCAUCCUGGGGCUGUAGUCGGUCCCAAGGGUUGGGCUGUUCGCCCAUUAAAGCGGCACGCGAGCUGGGUUCAGAACGUCGUGAGACAGUUCGGUCCCUAUCCGUCGCGGGCGCAGGAAAUUUGAGAGGAGCUGUCCUUAGUACGAGAGGACCGGGAUGGACACACCGCUGGUGUACCAGUUGUUCCGCCAGGAGCAUCGCUGGGUAGCUAUGUGUGGCAGGGAUAAACGCUGAAAGCAUCUAAGCGUGAAGCCCCCCUCAAGAUGAGAUUUCCCAUUUCUUCGGAAAGUAAGAUCCCUGAAAGAUGAUCAGGUAGAUAGGUUUGGAGUGGAAGUGUAGCGAUACAUGGAGCGGACAAAUACUAAUCGAUCGAGGACUUAACCAAAA
RNAcentral lists this ribosomal RNA (2447 nucleotides) under Listeria monocytogenes. RNAcentral's name for it is "bacterial LSU rRNA". It matches the Rfam family "Bacterial large subunit ribosomal RNA", at positions 482 to 2925 of the family's 2925-position model. Lineage: Bacteria; Bacillati; Bacillota; Bacilli; Caryophanales; Listeriaceae. The record is from RNAcentral.